AAAGCAUGAUGAGGACAUUUCUUAAGUAUUUCCUUAAAUCUCUCUUAACUCUCAUAAAUAGAUUAUCCUUCACAAUGAGUAAAAGAAGUGAUAUCAAUUCUAAGUUU
Small nucleolar RNA from Dendrobium catenatum, 107 nucleotides. NCBI's taxonomy places the organism in Eukaryota, Viridiplantae, Streptophyta, Magnoliopsida, Asparagales, Orchidaceae. The record is from RefSeq and is a predicted model, not a curated record.